CUGACAGAGCGAUAGGGAGGCUCACCCCCAACCCCCCACCAUGAAUUCGCCGCCGCCGCAACGCAGCCGCCACACGCUGGUCGACGACGCCAUCCGCGAGAUUUUGCUCCGCAUCCCGCCGGAUGAGCCGGCGAGCCUCGUCCGCGCCUCCGCCGUCUGCACCACCUGGCUCGAAAUCAUCUCAGACCCCGCCUUCUUCCGCGACUACCGCGCUUUCCACGGGGCGCCCCCGGUGUUGGGCUACCUCCACAACAAAUCCUACGAAAGCCAUGGCGUCGCCCGAUUCGACCCCACCGGAGCCUUCUGCCCGCUGGUUCGCGACCGCCGCAACUGGCACGCGGCCGACUCCCGCCAUGGCCCCGCGUCCUCUUCUACACACCCAGAGAGAAGCACGCGGAUUUCGUCGUCUGGGACCCCAUCACGGACCGCCGGUGGGGGCUUCUCACCGACCCCAAGCUGUCGGAGAUAAUUGAGACUGCAGAGGACCAGCAGGAGGAGAUAACCUGGAUGGCCGCGGUGCUGUGCGCCCAGGAUGGCUGCGACCACCUGGACUGCCACGACGGUCCCUUCAUCGUGGCCUUCGCGGGCUCCAAUGAGUUAGAGAGGACCACGUUCGCCUCCUUCUACUCAUCCGAGGCUACCGAGUGGAGUGAAAUGAUCUCCAUUGAGAACCCGAAUGCCACCAGUGCCAUGGAGGAGACAGGGCACACCGCGGUUGUGGGAAACAAAGUCUAUUUCCCCCGCAAGUCGAGCAGAAGAAUAGUGGUGUAUGACGUGGGCGAGCAAGAACUUUCGGCGAUCAAUUUGCAGGACCAGCCAUGCGGUAAACUCAUGGGGGAGGAGGACGGUGCGCUGGUGUUUGCGAGCAUGGGGGAUUCUAAACUCUAUGUUAGGUUAAUGGAGGAUGGUCCCAAUGGAGUUGUGGCGAGGGGGCAACGCAGGGUUGUCGAGCUUCAAACAUCGCUCCCUCCUAGUGCCCUCUCGAGCACAUACUGGAUGGUACACAAAACCUUCGUAAGUGGUGGACCCUCGCUGGUUGGUUUCGCGAGUGGUGCCGGUGUCAUCUUCCUAAAUACAGAAGCUGGCCUGUUCACAGUUGAGGUUUGUACUGGCCAAACAAAGAAGGUACACAGAAAGAUGUUCGUGCAGACAGUCAUACCCUAUGUGAGCUUCUACAGUCGAGGUACUAGCUUCUUUGAACAUGCACAACUUCAAUAUAUUUGAUUCAACUUCAACUUGUAGUAGUACUUUUUUCUUUUCAGAACAUGUCAGGAUCGUAAUGCCACUGCAAUCAAAACGUGGUCGUGGCGACCAUUCAUAUGAAUUGGACACCGUUUUGCAUGAUCACGCUGGGGACAGGAUACCACUGCAAUGAGAGGGACCAUCCAUACAUCACGAAGAACCUGCUGCCUUUUCACAAUGAUGAAUUCUGGAGCUGCAUGAAUGCUGUCCCAGUUUCUGUGGAGAAAUGCUUGGAGCCUUUUGUGAGUAUGAUGUGAAGUAUUGAACUUUGGACGUGGUUUCAGAGGAGCAGUCGGUUUUGUUGGAUACAGAGAAAUGGUAGCCUUGUAUCAAAGUGUUCAGUUAGUCCAGCGUCACUAUAAUUACAAGAUUGUUCUUCA
Molecule: long non-coding RNA, 1622 nt
Organism: Aegilops tauschii subsp. strangulata
Lineage: Eukaryota; Viridiplantae; Streptophyta; Magnoliopsida; Poales; Poaceae
Source: RefSeq, a predicted model, not a curated record